GGGCGCUGGCUCGAGCGCAGCUUCAAGGAAAAAAGCCAGACCUGAGAGGUAAAAAGGCCUCCCUGGUGGCAGGCAGAAGACUUGGAAAGCAGAAUCCCAAUCAAGGUUUCUCACCUGGGCAAUCCCCUAGCCCAAAGAAAAUCUGUUGUUUAGAGAUGAGCUGUAGAGUCAAGACUCUCUUUGUGCAGCUACUUUGAAAUACACAGGCAUCUUCUUCACUUCUGUGGGUUCUGUGAGCUCCAGCUAGACGGUACAGGCAGGACUCCAGAGAUGCUGUGGCUUCUGCUGCAGGUGUUCAACAGCAGGAAGAUAAGAGGGGGUUUAAGAAGUGCUACUCACAGAUUGCACCAAACAAGCUAAGGCUGGUGUAAUUACAGAGGAUCACCCUCACCAAUUGGAUAAUUUUUGUGCACUGAGUGGUGGAAGUGUGCAAGUUCGUUGCAUGCAUGGUGCUCACAUCUCAUCUGUGGAUGAGCUGUGGGCAAUGAGAAUUGUUCCCUCCUAGUAAAGGCUGAACUGGUGCUGUUUUUGGGAGUAGAGGGGCACUAUGUUCUGUGUGUCUUCCAUUCCAGACACUAUAAUACAGUGGUGGAUUUAGUGAAUCUGACCCUUGAAAGCCUGGGGGCAGUUGCAUGUCCAGAGACUUUUGUUUGGCCAGAAGGUGCUUGGGAUUAAAAUUGUUCUAGGAUUUGGAAUGUGAUCCUUCUCUGCAAUCUGAAAUAUAGAAGCACAAGUGAAAGAAGACCUGUUCAACCAUGCCAUGUUUUCUUUUUUACUGCCAAGAACUAGAUGUGC
Long non-coding RNA from Melospiza georgiana, 795 nucleotides. RefSeq lists it as uncharacterized. Lineage: Eukaryota; Metazoa; Chordata; Aves; Passeriformes; Passerellidae. The record is from RefSeq and is a predicted model, not a curated record. The transcript has 4 exons.